Molecule: ribosomal RNA, 916 nt
Filed under: uncultured bacterium
Lineage: Bacteria
Description: bacterial SSU rRNA
Rfam family: Bacterial small subunit ribosomal RNA
Source: RNAcentral
GUUUGAUCCUGGCUCAGAUUGAACGCUGGCGGAAUGCUUUACACAUGCAAGUCGAACGGCAGCACGAGAGCUUGCUCUUGGGGGCGAGUGACGAACGGGUGAGUAAUAUAUCGGAACGUAUCCAAUAAUGGGGGAUAACUAAUCGAAAGGUUGGCUAAUACCGCAUACGCCCUACGGGGGAAAGCAGGGGAUCUUCGGACCUUGCGUUAAUGGAGCGGCUGAUAUCUGAUUAGCUAGUAGGUGAGGUAAAGGCUCACCUAGGCUUCGAUCAGUAGCUGGUCUGAGAGGACGACCAGCCACACUGGAACUGAGACACGGUCCAGACUCCUACGGGAGGCAGCAGUGGGGAAUUUUGGACAAUGGGGGCAACCCUGAUCCAGCCAUUCCGCGUGAGUGAAGAAGGCCUUCGGGUUGUAAAGCUCUUUCGCAAGGGAAGAAACGUUACGAGCGAAUAACUCGUGAUAAUGACGGUACCUUGAUAAGAAGCACCGGCUAACUACGUGCCAGCAGCCGCGGUAAUACGUAGGGUGCGAGCGUUAAUCGGAAUUACUGGGCGUAAAGCGUGCGCAGGCGGUUUUGUAAGUCAGAUGUGAAAUCCCCGAGCUCAACUUGGGAACUGCGUUUGAAACUACAAGGCUAGAGUAUGGUAGAGGGGGGUAGAAUUCCACGUGUAGCAGUGAAAUGCGUAGAGAUGUGGAGGAAUACCAAUGGCGAAGGCAGCCCCCUGGACUAAUACUGACGCUCAUGCACGAAAGCGUGGGGAGCAAACAGGAUUAGAUACCCUGGUAGUCCACGCCCUAAACGAUGUCUACUAGUUGUUGGGAGAGUAAAAUCUCUUAGUAACGCAGCUAACGCGUGAAGUAGACCGCCUGGGGAGUACGGUCGCAGAUUAAAACUCAAGGAAUUGACGGGGGCC